This 374-nucleotide ribosomal RNA is filed under the name uncultured bacterium. RNAcentral's name for it is "bacterial SSU rRNA". It matches the Rfam family "Bacterial small subunit ribosomal RNA", at positions 521 to 896 of the family's 1533-position model. The record is from RNAcentral.
UAAUACGUAGGGGGCAAGCGUUGCUCGGAAUUACUGGGCGUAAAGGGUGUGUAGGUGGCUGAGUAAGUCAAAGAUGAAAUCCCGAGGCUCAACUUCGGAAUUGUUUUUGAAACUAUUCAGCUUGAGGAUAGUUGAGGAAAACGGAAUUCCCGGUGGAGCGGUGAAAUGCGUUGAUAUCGGGAGGAACACCAGAGGCGAAGGCGGUUUUCUGGGCUAUUCCUGACACUGAAACACGAAAGCUAGGGGAGCAAACGGGAUUAGAUACCCCGGUAGUCCUAGCUGUAAACGAUGGGCACUAGAUGUUCCUACUUUUGGUGGGAGUGUCGAAGCUAACGCGUUAAGUGCCCCGCCUGGGGAGUACGGUCGCAAGGCUG